RNAcentral lists this long non-coding RNA (261 nucleotides) under Physcomitrium patens. Its description in RNAcentral is "long non-coding RNA (PPAT_LNC009428)". Lineage: Eukaryota; Viridiplantae; Streptophyta; Bryopsida; Funariales; Funariaceae. The record is from RNAcentral.
GUUUAGAAGGAGCAUUUGAAAAUUAAAAGCUAGAAUUGUAAGGUUUAGGAUUUGGGCUACAAUUUGAAUACAAAAAUUAGUGAGUUUGGAGUUAGAGUGAAGAAGUUGUAGCCAUUUGAAGUUAAGGUAUAAUUUUAAGACAUAUUGUUUCUCUUUUAAGAAUAUGAGGAGUUUUACGAUAGUUUUUGGAAAUCAAAAGGUGUGGCUGGAAUGGCAAUUAUAUGAAUUAUAUUUUUUAUAAAAGAAUUAUUAAAUUUGAAG